This is a long non-coding RNA of Podarcis muralis (Common wall lizard), 1989 nucleotides long. NCBI's taxonomy places the organism in Eukaryota, Metazoa, Chordata, Lepidosauria, Squamata, Lacertidae. The record is from Ensembl.
GGACACUGAGGUCCAGCGCCGAGGGCCUUCUGGCGGUUCCCUCAUUGCGAGAAGCGAAGUUACAGGGAACCAGGCAGAGGGCCUUCUUGGUAGUGGCGCCCACCCUGUGGAACAUCAGAUGUCAAAGAAAUAAACAACUAUCUGACUUUUAGAAGAGAUCUGAAGGCAGCCCUGUUUAGGGAAGUUUUUAAUAUUUGAUGAAUUAUUGUAUUUUAAUCUUUUGUUGGAAACCGCCCAGAGUGGCUGUGAGAAUCCAGCCAGAUGGGCGGGGGUAUAAAUAAUAAAUUAUUAUUGUUAUUGUUAUUAUUUAUUAGUCUGUUGCAGGGAUUUGAACUGCUGACCUUCCGAUCGGCAAGCCUAAAGAGGCUCAGUGUUUUAGACCACAGCACCACCCGUGUCAACUAGAGGAUCCUGUACAAUGGACAUGAAAUGGCAGAAGCAGUUGUGCUCCAUCAAGAAAAGGAUUCCUUGCAAUGUUUUGAUGGGAGAAAUGCAGAAGCAGCUGCAACACUUCGUAUUGUCUGUCUGGAUCUGAUUCUCGAAUGUCUAUGUAAUUGUUUAAAAGUUAAGGCAGGAAAAAAGGAAAGCAGUUACAGAUACCGAAAAGAAGAGAUCAUCCGCUUUGGUUCAUCAAAGUGAGGACCACUCAUCAGGAUGAUGGGGGGCAGCAGCAGGAGGCCCCAAAGAUUGUUAAGCCCUUAAACUAUGAUGCGCAGUUGAGGAAUACGGCAGCCAAUGGAAUAAAAGAACAGUGUGUGGUUUUGAAAGAGAGGAAAAGAUACAAUUGGCCCAGAGCUUUGGAAGAUUACUCCGCUAAUCUUACUUCUCCAUCCUUCUGUUUCCUUAUCUGGCGAGAUCCAAUUGCGCCGCCGCCCGCACCACAUCUGGAUCGCGCGUCCCCUUCUCCCCUGGGGUCCCCUGCAAACAGAAGCAGCCACCACCCGCCCCCUCCAGGCUUUUGCAUCUGGGCCCAGCAGCAGCGAGCGAGCGGCCUCGUCAUCCGUGCGCCUGCAUCCCCCACAUCGCCCUCCGCGGCCACGAGCCGCACAUGUGCAGAAGCGGCGAAUCUCAACCCACGCGUGUGCAGACGCGCCUCUGCGGUUUGCACUCUUUUCAUGUUGCGAACGGCCCUCCGGAAUGGAUCCCGUUUGCAACCAGAGGUACCACUGUACCCCUAAACAUUUUUAAAGAAAAAAAGCACUGAUCAAACUUAUGUGGUCUCAGUUCAGAGUGCAUGCUGAAAGAGCCGACAUGUGUACAUGUAGAACCCAUUGAUUUGAUCUGAUUCUAGUGGUGAGGACCACAAUAAACCAACAGUUACCCUUGACCCCCAUUCCACAAGGCUGCAUCUCACAAGCAUUCUCACCCAUUUUAUAUUUUUAGGCACCGGGCAAAAACAUUCCUCUCCAACCAGGCCUUUGGCUGAUUGCAGCCUUUUAAAUAUGUAUGUGGGGAGGGGGAUUAUUGUUCUGUUGUUCUGGUUUAAUUACUUACUUGUGUUUUAUUUUGUAUUUUAUUCUGUGAACGGCCUUGUGCUCUUUUGAUGAAAGGUGGUAUAUAAAUUUAAUUAAUUAAUAAGAAUAAGAGGUCAGCGUCUAUUUGGGCUUUUGACAGCAUUUUGUUCCGUUACUCAGCCUUCUGAGAUUUAAGUGUAAGUGUAUAACAUUAGCUGGAUAAGUUAUUGUUUGUUGUUUUCUUACCUUCUUUUUUUUUUAAAAAAAAUAGUAUUAUAUUAAAGAUUUUCUUGGUUUACAAAAGUAUGUGCAAUCUCUCUCUCUCUUUUCUUCAAGUAACAUUUUUUACAAAUCAGUUUCAUUUGUUGAGACAUUGGGAAGAAAAGGGGGAAACAGGUGGGGGGGAAGGUGAGUGUUUUCUUACCUUCUGAACCAUUUUAAUCUGUGUAAGUAUUGGAGUUUUUCUCUCUUGUAGAGUUUUCUUUUAGGAAAGUCUGUGUGUGAUUUUAUGAAGGAAAGAAUAAGAAUAAGAAUA